This 670-nucleotide ribosomal RNA is filed under the name uncultured bacterium. RNAcentral's name for it is "bacterial SSU rRNA". It matches the Rfam family "Bacterial small subunit ribosomal RNA", at positions 93 to 780 of the family's 1533-position model. The record is from RNAcentral.
GAGCGCCGGACGGGUGAGUAACGCGUGGGUAACUUGCCUCAUACAGGGGGAUAACAGUUUAGAAAUGGCUGUUAAUACCGCAUAAGCGCACAGCAUCGCAUGAUGCCGUGUGAAAAACUCCGGUGGUAUGAGAUGGACCCGCGUCUGAUUAGGUAGUUGGCGGGGUAACGGCCCACCAAGCCGACGAUCAGUAGCCGACCUGAGAGGGUGACCGGCCACAUUGGGACUGAGACACGGCCCAAACUCCUACGGGAGGCAGCAGUGGGGAAUAUUGCACUUUGGGCGAAAGCCUGAUGCAGCGACGCCGCGUGAGCGAAGAAGUAUCUCGGUAUGUAAAGCUCUAUCAGCAGGGAAGAAAAUGACGGUACCUGACUAAGAAGCCCCGGCUAACUACGUGCCAGCAGCCGCGGUAAUACGUAGGGGGCAAGCGUUAUCCGGAUUUACUGGGUGUAAAGGGAGCGUAGACGGAGAUUCAAGUCAGGAGUGAAAUCUAUGGGCUUAACCCAUAAACUGCUUUUGAAACUGAAUCCCUUGAGUAUCGGAGAGGCAGGCGGAAUUCCUAGUGUAGCGGUGAAAUGCGUAGAUAUUAGGAGGAACACCAGUGGCGAAGGCGGCCUGCUGGACGACAACUGACGCUGAGGCGCGAAAGCGUGGGGAGCAAACAGGAUUA